UUGAAUCUGAAUUUUUUAAAUUCAUAUUCUUUUUUAAACCCUUGAUAACAAGACCAUGUUGCUUCCACUGGCCUGACGAAAGUCUUGCUGGUGGGAAGAUAAAUAUAAAAACUUUUUCUUCUGUCUGAUUUAUAUAUAUUUUUAAUAUAUA
RNAcentral lists this unclassified non-coding RNA (151 nucleotides) under uncultured fungus. RNAcentral's name for it is "sequence contains ITS1". The record is from RNAcentral. Lineage: Eukaryota; Fungi.